GACGAACGCUGGCGGCGUGCUUAACACAUGCAAGUCGAACGGAAAGGCCCUGCUUUUGUGGGGUGCUCGAGUGGCGAACGGGUGAGUAACACGUGAGUAACCUGCCCUUGACUUUGGGAUAACUUCAGGAAACUGGGGCUAAUACCGGAUAGGAGCUCCUGCUGCAUGGUGGGGGUUGGAAAGUUUCGGCGGUUGGGGAUGGACUCGCGGCUUAUCAGCUUGUUGGUGGGGUAGUGGCUUACCAAGGCUUUGACGGGUAGCCGGCCUGGGAGGGUGACCGGCGACAUUGGGACUGAGAUACGGCCCAGACUCCUACGGGAGGCAGCAGGGGGGAAUAUUGCACAAUGGGCGGAAGCCUGAUGCAGCAACGCCGGGGGCGGGAUGACGGCCUGCGGGUUGUAAACCGCUUUCGCCUGUGACGAAGCGUGAGUGACGGUAAUGGGUAAAGAAGCACCGGCUAACUACGUG
This 468-nucleotide ribosomal RNA is filed under the name uncultured bacterium. RNAcentral describes it as "partial 16S ribosomal RNA". It matches the Rfam family "Bacterial small subunit ribosomal RNA", at positions 28 to 507 of the family's 1533-position model. The record is from RNAcentral.